Ornithodoros turicata is the source of this 880-nucleotide long non-coding RNA. RefSeq lists it as uncharacterized. The record is from RefSeq and is a predicted model, not a curated record. NCBI's taxonomy places the organism in Eukaryota, Metazoa, Arthropoda, Arachnida, Ixodida, Argasidae. The transcript is spliced from 2 exons.
AUGGGCACAGUGCAUGGGCAUGGCCACGGAUAUGGGUGUGCGUAACGCGACGCUCUUUCGUGUGUCGUCUGCGUGCAGAGUUGUGCUGGGAUUGACGAUGCACUUUAUUUACUAAGUAUGACUAAGUAGUAUCGGUAGCAUUUCUCGUUUGUAAAUCUGACCAUAAAGUCUGUGGUUCGGAACCUUCUUUGUGUGCUUUAUCUUUGAUUUGGGCUGCUAGCUGCCGCACUAACCUAGCCUAACACUAACUAACCAGUGUAUGAUGUCUUAGGUUAGUUUAGUCAUGGUCAUGGUUUAGUGAUAGUUUAGGUUAGGUUAGUGCGGCUCUGGCAGCUGCCUUGCCUUCCCAAUGAUGUGAAGUUACGGAAUAUGGUGACGCCUACCAAAACAAUAAUGCCCAACCACAUAUUUGUUGCGAGAUCACCCGGCCCUCUCCUCUACUACUGGUUUAUCCAGAAUUGCAAGCACAAGAUUUGCCUUGUGGCAGAUAAUGAAGUACUGGCCCACCUGUUUCAAAGCGCUCAACCUAGAAGGGUCAACGUUGAUAUCAUACUAUAGAAAGGACCUCAAGAGCUAAACUUCAAAGACAGAAGGUGCCAAGGUAGAAGAAGAAGGUACUCAUGACAGAAGAUACAAUGUCCCAUUGUAGCUUCACACGAAAAUGUUUCCCCUCGAACACUAGGGCCCUCACUCUGGUGGCUGUUAUUGGGUUUCCCAAAGCCUAUGGGAAAGCUAAAUGGUGUAUCACUUGGCCAGGAAUGAAGCCCUUUGAAAAUUACCAACUACAAAUUAUUCUGUCCCUUCUGGCUUGUAUUCCUCGCCUUUUUGCCUCAUGCCACCCCUACACCUGCAGUGGAAAAUAAAUUGCGUUACAUUGUCA